Molecule: ribosomal RNA, 225 nt
Filed under: uncultured eukaryote
Lineage: Eukaryota
Description: partial 18S ribosomal RNA
Rfam family: Eukaryotic small subunit ribosomal RNA
Source: RNAcentral
GGGAACCUCACCCGGCCCGGACACCGCGAGGAUUGACAGACUGAGAGCUCUUUCUCGAUUCGGUGGGUGGUGGUGCAUGGCCGUUCUUAGUUGGUGGAGCGAUCUGUCUGGUUAAUUCCGAUAACGAACGAGACCCCAACCUGCUAACUAGUUUGUAUUCUCACAGAGUGCAAUACUUCUUAGAGGGACUAUAUGUGUCAAGCAUAUGGAAGUUUGAGGCAAUAA